RNAcentral lists this ribosomal RNA (259 nucleotides) under uncultured bacterium. Its description in RNAcentral is "partial 16S ribosomal RNA". It matches the Rfam family "Bacterial small subunit ribosomal RNA", at positions 95 to 354 of the family's 1533-position model. The record is from RNAcentral.
UUGGCGGACGGGUGAGUAACGCGUGGGUAACCUGCCUUACACAGGGGGAUAACACUUAGAAAUAGGUGCUAAAACCGCAUAAGCGCACAGCUUCGCAUGAAGCGGUGUGAAAAACUCCGGUGGUGUAAGAUGGACCCGCAUCUGAUUAGCUUGUUGGCGGGGUAACGGCCCACCAAGGCGACGAUCAGUAGCCGGCCUGAGAGGGCGGACGGCCACAUUGGGACUGAGACACGGCCCAGACUCCUACGGGAGGCAGCAG